Pistacia vera is the source of this 511-nucleotide long non-coding RNA. RefSeq lists it as uncharacterized. The record is from RefSeq and is a predicted model, not a curated record. The transcript has 3 exons. NCBI's taxonomy places the organism in Eukaryota, Viridiplantae, Streptophyta, Magnoliopsida, Sapindales, Anacardiaceae.
UCUGAGCACACACUUGUAUUCUAUCAACUCAUGACUUUCCCUUGGACUAUCGUGGCCAUUACAUGUCUAAGUAACUUGAUUGUGCUCCUGGAGUUACACUCUGCUCCUAUAUGUGAUACUCUGCUCCAUGAGCAAGAGUUACCUUUGCUUAUAGGUUUACUACAGAGCAUUUUACUGCAAUCUCCAGACACUGUCCUAAUAAAUUGGCAUACGCAAAGUAACUGUUGAAUGUGCAGAGUUCAAAGGGAGAGGUCAUUCUUGGUAUGCAAGGUGGGGUAGGACUAGUUUCAUAUUGUUUCUGAAGAUGAAGGACUUUGUUUCUGCUGUCUUCAUUGAUGCUGUCCUGAAUUUGAUUGAGUAGUGGAGCCCCCUUGAUUGCACCUUCAUCCAGUUGCUUUACUGCUUGGAUUUGUUUUAUGGGUUCUGAUUUGGCUAUUUCUCAAGUAUGUCAUCAAGCAACUUUGCAAAAUGCUAUUGUGAAUAUUGUUUUAAUUCAUUAUUUGCACCAUCA